AUUGAACGCUGGCGGUAGGCCUAACACAUGCAAGUCGAGCGGUAACAGAUUGAUAGCUUGCUAUCAAUGCUGACGAGCGGCAGACGGGUGAGUAAUGCCUGGGAAUAUACCCUGAUGUGGGGGAUAACUAUUGGAAACGAUAGCUAAUACCCCAUAAUCUCUUCGGUGCAAAGAGGGGGACCUGCGGGCCUCUCGCGUCAGGAUUAGCCCAGGUGGGAUUAGCUAGUUGGUGGGGUAAUGGCUCACCAAGGCGACGAUCCCUAGCUGGUCUGAGAGGAUGAUCAGCCACACUGGAACUGAGACACGGUCCAGACUCCUACGGGAGGCAGCAGUGGGGAAUAUUGCACAAUGGGGGAAACCCUGAUGCAGCCAUGCCGCGUGGAGGAAGAAGGCCUUCGGGUUGUAAAGUACUUUCAGUUGUGAGGAAGGCGUUGGAGUUAAUAGCUUUAGCGUUUGACGUUAGCAACAGAAGAAGCACCGGCUAACUCCGUG
This 492-nucleotide ribosomal RNA is filed under the name uncultured bacterium. RNAcentral describes it as "partial 16S ribosomal RNA". It matches the Rfam family "Bacterial small subunit ribosomal RNA", at positions 30 to 507 of the family's 1533-position model. The record is from RNAcentral.